This 248-nucleotide ribosomal RNA is filed under the name uncultured Lachnospiraceae bacterium. Its description in RNAcentral is "partial 16S ribosomal RNA". It matches the Rfam family "Bacterial small subunit ribosomal RNA", at positions 524 to 771 of the family's 1533-position model. Lineage: Bacteria; Bacillati; Bacillota; Clostridia; Lachnospirales; Lachnospiraceae. The record is from RNAcentral.
UACGUAGGGGGCAAGCGUUAUCCGGAUUUACUGGGUGUAAAGGGAGCGUAGACGGCAAGACAAGUCAGAAGUGAAACCCUAUCGCUCAACGAUAGGCAUGCUUUUGAAACUGUUUCGCUAGAGUGCAGGAGAGGUAAGUGGAAUUCCUAGUGUAGCGGUGAAAUGCGUAGAGAUUAGGAGGAACACCAGUGGCGAAGGCGGCUUACUGGACUGUAACUGACGUUGAGGCUCGAAAGCGUGGGGAGCAA